RNAcentral lists this ribosomal RNA (254 nucleotides) under uncultured bacterium. RNAcentral's name for it is "partial 16S ribosomal RNA". It matches the Rfam family "Bacterial small subunit ribosomal RNA", at positions 524 to 776 of the family's 1533-position model. The record is from RNAcentral.
CACGUAGGGGCCAAGCGUUGUCCGGAUUUAUUGGGCGUAAAGAGCUCGUAGGCGGUUCGACAAGUCGGGUGUGAAAACUCCGGGCUCAACCCGGAGACGCCACCCGAUACUGUCGUGACUGGAGUCCGGUAGGGGAGUGGGGAAUUCCUGGUGUAGCGGUGAAAUGCGCAGAUAUCAGGAAGAACACCCGUGGCGAAGGCGGCUCUCUGGGACGGUACUGACGCUGAGACGCGAAAGCGUGGGGAGCGAACCGG